AGCGAGGUAGAACAAUGGCAGUUCGCCGCAGAUAGCGCGGAGAUGCAGGUUCGACUCCUGCCCUCGUUC
RNAcentral lists this transfer RNA (69 nucleotides) under Caudoviricetes sp. RNAcentral's name for it is "tRNA-Tyr". It matches the Rfam family "tRNA". From Rfam's summary of the family: Transfer RNA (tRNA) molecules are approximately 80 nucleotides in length. Their secondary structure includes four short double-helical elements and three loops (D, anti-codon, and T loops). The record is from RNAcentral. Lineage: Duplodnaviria; Heunggongvirae; Uroviricota; Caudoviricetes.